GACGAACGCUGGCGGCGUGCCUAACACAUGCAAGUCGAGCGGGGGGAGUUCUUCGGAACGAACCUAGCGGCGGACGGGUGAGUAACACGUGGGCAACCUGCCUUGAGGAGGGGGAUAACAGGAUGAAGUCCUGCUAAUACCGCAUAACCCGGUGCUGUCGCAUGAUGGCAUCGGCAAAGGAGCAAUCCGCCUCAAGAUGGGCCCGCGGCGCAUUAGCUAGUUGGUGGGGUAACGGCCUACCAAGGCGACGAUGCGUAGCCGACCUGAGAGGGUGAUCGGCCACAUUGGAACUGAGACACGGUCCAGACUCCUACGGGAGGCAGCAGUGGGGAAUAUUGCACAAUGGGCGAAAGCCUGAUGCAGCAACGCCGCGUGAGCGAUGAAGGCCUUCGGGUUGUAAAGCUCUGUCUUCGCUGACGAAAUCUGACGGUAAGCGAGGAGAAAGCCACGGCUAACUACGUG
Molecule: ribosomal RNA, 462 nt
Filed under: uncultured bacterium
Lineage: Bacteria
Description: partial 16S ribosomal RNA
Rfam family: Bacterial small subunit ribosomal RNA
Source: RNAcentral